UUAAAUGCUUUGCAAGGAAGAGUAAAUAUUUAAACUAGCUACAGAGAACUAGGAGGAGCUGAGAACCUAGGUUAGUAAGAAUAUUGAAGAUGGUCCUUAAGCUAUAUAGUUGAACUAGUAGUAGACUAUAUCGGUUAGCUAUCGUUAAUAGCCUCAAAGUAGUCAUCUAACGAGAUGAUAAAUAGGGUGGUACCGCGACCUCUCGCCCCUAGC
RNAcentral lists this non-coding RNA (213 nucleotides) under Halobacteroides halobius. RNAcentral's name for it is "T-box sequence". It matches the Rfam family "T-box leader". From Rfam's summary of the family: Uncharged tRNA acts as the effector for transcription antitermination of genes in the T-box leader family. T-boxes are found upstream of many aminoacyl-tRNA synthetase genes and some amino acid biosynthetic genes usually in Gram-positive bacteria. Lineage: Bacteria; Bacillati; Bacillota; Clostridia; Halanaerobiales; Halobacteroidaceae. The record is from RNAcentral.